GGUCAAGCUACAAAGGGCGCAUGGUGAAUGCCUUGGCAUCAGGAGCCGAUGAAGGACGUGAUAAGCUGCGAUAAGCUUCGGGUAGGCGCACAUAGCCUGAGAUCCGAAGAUCUCCGAAUGAGGAAACUCACAUGGGAAACCCCAUGUAUCAUUAAGUGAAUACAUAGCUUAAUGAAGGUAACCCAGGGAACUGAAACAUCUAAGUACCUGGAGGAAGAGAAAGAAAAAUCGAUUUUCUUAGUAGCGGCGAGCGAAAGGGAAAGAGCCCAAACCGGAAACUUGUUUCCGGGGUUGUGGACAUGACAUAAAAGUGGAGGCUAUUGUAACUGAAGAGAACUGGAAAGUUCCACCGUAGAAGGUAAUAGUCCUGUAAGUGAAACGAGAAGACCACGAGUUAUGAUCCAGAGUACCACGAGACACGUGAAACCUUGUGGGAAGCAGGGAGGACCACCUCCCAAGGCUAAAUACUACCUGAUGACCGAUAGUGAAGCAGUACCGUGAGGGAAAGGUGAAAAGAACCCCGGGAGGGGAGUGAAAUAGAACCUGAAACCGUGUGCCUACAACCGCUCAGAGCCCCUUAUGAGGGUGAUGAGGUGCUUUUUGUAGAACGAGCCAACGAGUUACGGUAUGUAGCAAGGUUAAGUACUUAAGGUACGGAGCCGAAGGGAAACCGAGUCUGAAUAGGGCGACUAGUUGCAUGCCGUAGACCCGAAACCGGGUGACCUAUCCAUGGCCAGGUUGAAGCGAGGGUAAAACCUCGUGGAGGACCGAACCACGUUGCUGUUGAAAAAGCAUGGGAUGAGCUGUGGAUAGCGGAGAAAUUCCAAUCGAACCCGGAGAUAGCUGGUUCUCUCCGAAAUAGCUUUAGGGCUAGCGUCGAGUAUGAGUAGUGGAGGUAGAGCACUGAAUGGGCUAGGGGGCAUAGCGCUUACCGAACCUUAUCAAACUCCGAAUGCCACAUACUUUGAGCUCGGCAGUCAGACUACGAAUGAUAAGAUCCGUGGUCAAAAGGGAAACAGCCCAGAUCGUCAGCUAAGGUCCCAAAGUGUAAGUUAAGUGGGAAAGGAUGUGAGAUUUCUAAGACAACUAGGAUGUUGGCUUAGAAGCAGCCAUUCAUUAAAAGAGUGCGUAAUAGCUCACUAGUCGAGAGAUCUUGCGCCGAAAAUGUAACGGGGCUAAACUUACCACCGAAGCUACGGGCUUGAACUUAGUUCAAGCGGUAGGAGAGCGUCGUAACCGGGCUGAAGUCGUACCGUAAGGAGCGGUGGACUGGUUACGAGUGAGAAUGUUGGCAUCAGUAGCGAGAUGUGGGUGAGAAUCCCACAGGCCGAAAACCUAAGGUUUCCUCAGGAAGGUUCGUCCGCUGAGGGUUAGUCGGGACCUAAGCCGAGGCCGAAAGGCGUAGGUGAUGGACAACUGGUUGAUAUUCCAGUACCACUACCAUCGUUAUUAUCGAUGGCGUGACGCAGGAGGAUAGUGUGUGCUAGCUAUUGGAUGCUAGUCUAAGCGUUUAGGCAGUGAGAGUAGGCAAAUCCGCUCUCAUAAUGCUGAGGCGUGAUGGGGAAGGUUCUACGGAACCGAAGUACAUGAUUCCACGCUGCCAAGAAAAGCGUCUAGAGAGAGAAGUAGUGCCCGUACCGCAAACCGACACAGGUAGGUGAGGAGAGAAUCCUAAGGCCGGCGGAAGAAUUACAGUUAAGGAACUCGGCAAAUUGACCCCGUAAGUUCGCGAGAAGGGGUGCCUACGAGAGUAGGCCGCAGAGAAUAGGCCCAAGCAACUGUUUAGCAAAAACACAGGUCUCUGCUAAAGCGUAAGCUGAUGUAUAGGGGCUGACGCCUGCCCGGUGCUGGAAGGUUAAGGGGAACACUUAGCGCAAGCGAAGGUGUGAACUUAAGCCCCAGUAAACGGCGGCCGUAACUAUAACGGUCCUAAGGUAGCGAAAUUCCUUGUCAGGUAAGUUCUGACCCGCACGAAUGGCGUAAUGACUUGGGCACUGUCUCAACUGUAAAUCCGGCGAAGUUGUAGUGCGAGUGAAGAUGCUCGCUACCCGCGAUUGGACGGAAAGACCCCGUAGAGCUUUACUGUAGCUUAGCAUUGAGUUUUGGUAUUGUCUGUACAGGAUAGGUGGGAGACUAGGAAACCAGGGCGUCAGCCUUGGUGGAGUCAACCUUGGGAUACCACCCUGACAGUACUGAAAUUCUAACUGGCGGCCAUGAAUCUGGUCACAGGACAUUGUUAGGUGGGCAGUUUGACUGGGGCGGUCGCCUCCUAAAAAGUAACGGAGGCGCCCAAAGGUUCCCUCAGAACGGUCGGAAAUCGUUCGAAGAGUGCAAAGGCAGAAGGGAGCCUGACUGCGACACCCACAAGUGGAGCAGGGACGAAAGUCGGGCUUAGUGAUCCGGUGGUACCUCGUGGGAGGGCCAUCGCUCAACGGAUAAAAGCUACCUCGGGGAUAACAGGCUGAUCUCCCCCAAGAGUCCACAUCGACGGGGAGGUUUGGCACCUCGAUGUCGGCUCGUCGCAUCCUGGGGCUGAAGUAGGUCCCAAGGGUUGGGCUGUUCGCCCAUUAAAGCGGCACGCGAGCUGGGUUCAGAACGUCGUGAGACAGUUCGGUCCCUAUCCGUCGCGGGCGUAGGAAAUUUGAGAGGAGCUGUCCUUAGUACGAGAGGACCGGGAUGGACUGACCUCUGGUGUACCAGUUGUUCCGCCAGGAGCACAGCUGGGUAGCUAAGUCGGGAAUGGAUAAACGCUGAAAGCAUCUAAGCGUGAAGCCAACCUCAAGAUGAGAUUUCCCAUAGCGUAAGCUAGUAAGAUCCCUUGAAGAACACAAGGUUGAUAGGUCGGGGGUGUAAGCAUGGUAACAUGUUCAGCUGACCGAUACUAAUAGAUCGAGGGCUUGACCAA
Molecule: ribosomal RNA, 2905 nt
Filed under: Clostridium perfringens
Lineage: Bacteria; Bacillati; Bacillota; Clostridia; Eubacteriales; Clostridiaceae
Also listed under: 1 other name
Description: 23S ribosomal RNA
Rfam family: Bacterial large subunit ribosomal RNA
Source: RNAcentral